RNAcentral lists this transfer RNA (71 nucleotides) under Loxodonta africana (African savanna elephant). RNAcentral's name for it is "tRNA-Glu (TTC) (tRNA-Glu-TTC-18-1)". It matches the Rfam family "tRNA". From Rfam's summary of the family: Transfer RNA (tRNA) molecules are approximately 80 nucleotides in length. Their secondary structure includes four short double-helical elements and three loops (D, anti-codon, and T loops). Further hydrogen bonds mediate the characteristic L-shaped molecular structure. tRNAs have two regions of fundamental functional importance: the anti-codon, which is responsible for specific mRNA codon recognition, and the 3' end, to which the tRNAs corresponding amino acid is attached (by aminoacyl-tRNA synthetases). tRNAs cope with the degeneracy of the genetic code in two manners: having more than one tRNA (with a specific anti-codon) for a particular amino acid; and 'wobble' base-pairing, i.e. permitting non-standard base-pairing at the 3rd anti-codon position. Lineage: Eukaryota; Metazoa; Chordata; Mammalia; Proboscidea; Elephantidae. The record is from Rfam by way of RNAcentral.
GCAGGGGUGGUUUAGUGGUAGAAUUCUUGCCUUUCAUGCAGGAGACCUGGGUUUGACUCCCAGCCACUGCA